CUCGUAGGCGGCCAACUAAGUCAUACGUGAAAUCCCUCAGCUUAACUGGGGAACUGCGUGUGAUACUGGAUGGCUUGGAUUUGGGAGAGGGAUGCGGAAUUCCAGGUGUAGCGGUGAAAUGCGUAGAUAUCUGGAGGAACACCGGUGGCGAAGGCGGCAUCCUGGACCAAUAUUGACGCUGAAGGAGCGGAAAGCCAAGGGGAGCAAACG
This 210-nucleotide ribosomal RNA is filed under the name uncultured bacterium. Its description in RNAcentral is "partial 16S ribosomal RNA". It matches the Rfam family "Bacterial small subunit ribosomal RNA", at positions 568 to 774 of the family's 1533-position model. The record is from RNAcentral.